This 509-nucleotide ribosomal RNA is filed under the name uncultured bacterium. Its description in RNAcentral is "partial 16S ribosomal RNA". It matches the Rfam family "Bacterial small subunit ribosomal RNA", at positions 29 to 507 of the family's 1533-position model. The record is from RNAcentral.
ACGCACGCUGGCGGCGUGCUUAACACAUGCAAGUCGAACGAAGAGCGAUGGAAGCUUGCUUCUAUCAAUCUUAGUGGCGAACGGGUGAGUAACGCGUAAUCAACCUGCCCUUCAGAGGGGGACAACGGUUGGAAACGACUGCUAAUACCGCAUACGAUCUAAUCUCGGCAUCGAGGAUAGAUGAAAGGUGGCCUCUACAUGUAAGCUAUCACUGAAGGAGGGGAUUGCGUCUGAUUAGCUAGUUGGAGGGGUAACGGCCCACCAAGGCGAUGAUCAGUAGCCGGUCUGAGAGGAUGAACGGCCACAUUGGGACUGAGACACGGCCCAGACUCCUACGGGAGGCAGCAGUGGGGAAUCUUCCGCAAUGGACGAAAGUCUGACGGAGCAACGCCGCGUGAGCGAUGACGGCCUUCGGGUUGUAAAGCUCUGUUAAUCGGGACGAAAGGCCUUCUUGCGAAUAGUGAGAAGGAUUGACGGUACCGGAAUAGAAAGCCACGGCUAACUACGUG